Molecule: ribosomal RNA, 440 nt
Filed under: uncultured bacterium
Lineage: Bacteria
Description: partial 16S ribosomal RNA
Rfam family: Bacterial small subunit ribosomal RNA
Source: RNAcentral
CCUACGGGAGGCAGCAGUGGGGGAUAUUGCACAAUGGGGGAAACCCUGAUGCAGCGACGCCGCGUGAGCGAUGAAGCCUUUCGGUACGUAAAGCCCUAUCAGCAGGGAAGAAAAUGACGGUACCUGAAGAAGAAGCCCCGGCUAACUACGUGCCAGCAGCCGCGGUAAUACGUAGGGGGCAAGCGUUAUCCGGAUUUACUGGGUGUAAAGGGGGCGCAGACGGCAGUGCAAGCCAGGAGUGAAAGACCGGGGCACAACCCCGGGACUGCUCUUGGAACUGCGUAGCUGGAGUGUAGGAGAGGCAGGCGGAAUUCCUGGUGUAGCGGUGAAAUGCGUAGAUAUCAGGAGGAACACCAGUGGCGAAGGCGGCCUGCUGGACUGUAACUGACGUUGAGGCUCGAAAGCGUGGGGAGCAAACAGGAUUAGAUACCCGAGUAGUC